AGAUUCGUGUUGUAUCCAAACCAAACACAGCAGUGGUCAUGGUUAAGUUAACAAAAAAAGGGUCAGAGUCAAGUUAAUUUUUAGGAACAAAAGUCAACCCAAUGUAACUGUAAUUGAAAUUAAGGAAAGCCAUUUGUGCAAAGAAAAGGACAAGUCUGGAUUUUCCAUUAGCAAAAGAUAAAACUCAAGUUAACAAUUAACUUGAGUAUAUUUAAAUGACUCAAGAAUCAUCAUCAACCAUUCCAGUUGCAAAAAAUACCAGCUGAAGCGUCACAAUUUGAUGGAUAAUCAAUCGUUGCCAAACAAUGUUUAGCUUUACUCUACAAAACUUGAUAAUUUUUAAUAUUAAUCGUUAUAUUAUCGGGUUAUCAGUUUUGCCUUUGAUUAAGCUAUAACUCUGUAAAAUGGUUGAAAGUUGGAGGAGAGAGAGAAUGAAAUCAGAGUUGAAACUGAAUUUUUAUUGAUUCCUUUUCAUUUUUCUUUUCUGGUACAAUUGAUGGUGAUUGUUCAAUUGUUCACCAUUUUAGACCGUCAAUCCAAAUAAUGAUACAAAAAUAAAUGGUGAACAACGGUUGAACAAUUUACUGUUGUAUUUAUAUGAACUAUUGUUGAACAUAUAAAAAAAGGAACCAAUUGUAUUUUGUAAAAAAAGAAGUUAUUUGAUUUCUUUUUUUCGCUAUUCUCUCACUGUCUCUCUCUCUCUUUGCCUAGUAUUUCAUUGUGUUAGUUAACAGAUAAUAGUUACAGGCAGAAUUGAAUGAUUUAAUAUACAAGUUACUAUAAGCUAAAUUGUGAUUUGUAAGAUUUGAAUUGACGUCUAAAAAGGUGUUUUGAGAAGGCAAAAACUGAAGGAGUUAAAGGAUUGAGACUAAAUCGUUUAUUAAAGUAAAUGAGGUAAAAAGAGAAGAAGCAAUCUUCAGGCGAUUUGAUACCUUUUUUUGUGAGAAACGUACCUUUUAUCUUGGGUUACUCUUUAUGAAUUACAUGCCUUUGGGAUACACAAAUAAAAGAUGACAUUAGUCUCUUGACAUUCACCUUUUCGCCAUCAAAAUCAUCAUUCGCUUUACCCUGCAAAAAGUCGAUCAUCAUCAUCAUCUUAAGAGUUUACCUUUUAUCUUGAUUUAUUUCUUUUCCAUCAGAUAAUCAUAUAUAAUCGUUUCUCCUGAUGAUGCCAAAGAAUGGGAAAAGCAGCUCUAAUCACCCAAAAUUUAUCAUACAACAUUGAAUCAAAGUAAAUGUUUUACUUUGCAAUCAUUUUUGCUAUCGUUAAUCUCUUUAGACUCACCUUUGUAUGCCAGGAACACAUUAUUUGGUGAGAUUAACGAUUCAUCUGGAUACAAUUAAAGAGUGAAUAAAGUUAGAUUCAAUGAAUAGUUGCAGUUGAUCAAUUAUUAGAGGCAACACUAAUCAAUCCUUUCAAUCAACUUUACCAGUUGUUUCAUUGAACCGUUUACCUCCAAUGGCUUCAAUUUUUUGCUCAUCUAAAUCAAGCCAAACCUUCAAGUCAAUCCAAUGGAAAUGUUUCAAUCCAAGCCAGAAUGUGUAAUUUCAAGACUUAAAGCCUUCCUUAAAACAUUAAUUAACCUUUGAAUCAAGUUAAAUACAGUUUGAAUGGCAGUUGGAUUACAAAGUUGGAGGAAAAGUAAAGCGGCGAAAAGCUUCAAAAUAUUCAUCGAUUCUCACUGUGCAACUAUUUUUACAAUUUGUUUCCAAUAUUCAAGAUUGGGUGGAAAAAGAACAAGAUAGCAACUUGAGAUGGAAUCAUAUUUUCCCAUGUUUUGUUUCAAAAAUAACCAGUUUCGAUUGGAUUGUGAGAAAUGGAAGAAACUUAAAAUGUUAGAUUGGUCCAUUGAUCAACAACCUAACAAGAUAUUCAAUUUUCACUUGCAAGCAACAUCAACAUAGAAAAGUGUUUUGGCAAAAGGAAUAGACAAGAAAAAAAAGAAGGAAAAGCAAAAAACAAAACAACUAUAAGUUAUAAUCAGAUUAUGAGAACCAAAGGAACAAAAAAGUUGAACCGAGAAAAAAAAAGACCAAGAAAAGAUGAUAAAAGGAGAGGAAAAUGUUGAACCAAUAAAAUGAAAUGGACUAAGUUGACAUGAUUGAUUGAAUAGGAACAAAAAUUGUUCAUUGGCCAAUACGAAUAACAAAUGAUAUUUGGGAACAAUUGUGAGUAAAAUUUUGCUUCUCUCAACAUUUUUAAAGACAACAGCAAGAAUCAACAAAAAAUGGAAGCAAAAAUGAAUAAACAAACAACAAACAAACAAGUGAAUGGAUGGAAAUGCAAAGUAGACAAAGAUUCAAUAUGGACAAUUUUACCAACAAGGAAAAAGGAGUCGAUUAUGGACAUUACAUGGCACAAUCAAUCAAUUCAUCUUUGUCAACGUUUUAAUCAUUGGAACUUGGAUUCAAUUGAAAAUCGUUUGCCAAGCGAUGGUUACAAAGCAAUGACGAAUUUUUACACCACAACCUCUGACGUCCAUUUAAUUCAGUGUUUUAAAUGUUAGGAUAAAAUUAGCUUCACCAGGCUCAACAAGAUAUUGAAUGCAAAAUUGAAAGAAUCUUGCAUUUUUUAUAUUUUUACUCAGAAAAUGAAUUGUAAUUUUCACAAUUUAUUCAAUUUCACAAUAGAUUUCACAAUAUUUAAUGUUAUUCAUGUUCUGUUCAUUUCCGUGUUAUACAACUUCAAUGAUUGUUCAGAUAACAAACACGCAGAUUCAAGUCACAAUCAAUCUAUAUUAGGUUUGUUAGGUAACAUUAAAUUUCAAGUUGAUUCGUAUUUUGUGUUUUCCUCAAAAUAGUGUCUCAACUUUUACCGACUCUUUUCUUGUGUUAUAUAAAAUUGACUUAUUUUUGUCUGUAAA
Molecule: non-coding RNA, 2864 nt
Organism: Tetranychus urticae (two-spotted spider mite)
Lineage: Eukaryota; Metazoa; Arthropoda; Arachnida; Trombidiformes; Tetranychidae
Source: RefSeq, a predicted model, not a curated record